Molecule: ribosomal RNA, 504 nt
Filed under: uncultured Glomus
Lineage: Eukaryota; Fungi; Glomeromycota; Glomeromycetes; Glomerales; Glomeraceae
Description: SSU rRNA
Rfam family: Eukaryotic small subunit ribosomal RNA
Source: RNAcentral
AGCAGCCGCGGUAAUUCCAGCUCCAAUAGCGUAUAUUAAAGUUGUUGCAGUUAAAAAGCUCGUAGUUGAAUUUCGGGAUCAAUGUUUCGGUCAUGCCGUUGGUAUGUACUGAUAUUAUUGAUUUCUCACCUUCUAAAGAACCGUAAUGCCAUUAAUUUGGUGUCACGGGGAAUUAGGACUGUUACCUUGAAAAAUUAGAGUGUUUAAAGCAGGCUCACGCUUGAAUACAUUAGCAUGGAAUAAUGAAAUAGGACAUCCGAUUCUAUUUUGUUGGUUUCUAGGAUCGAUGUAAUGAUUAAUAGGGAUAGUUGGGGGCAUUAGUAUUCAAUUGUCAGAGGUGAAAUUCUUGGAUUUAUUGAAGACUAACUACUGCGAAAGCAUUUGCCAAGGAUGUUUUCAUUAAUCAAGAACGAAAGUUAGGGGAUCGAAGACGAUCAGAUACCGUCGUAGUCUUAACCAUAAACUAUGCCGACUAGGGAUCGGAUGAUGUUAAUUUUUAAUGUA